RNAcentral lists this ribosomal RNA (1620 nucleotides) under Salmonella enterica subsp. enterica serovar Montevideo. RNAcentral describes it as "partial 23S ribosomal RNA". It matches the Rfam family "Bacterial large subunit ribosomal RNA", at positions 1241 to 2838 of the family's 2925-position model. The record is from RNAcentral. Lineage: Bacteria; Pseudomonadati; Pseudomonadota; Gammaproteobacteria; Enterobacterales; Enterobacteriaceae.
CUGUAAGCCUGCGAAGGUGGCCUGUGAGGGUUGCUGGAGGUAUCAGAAGUGCGAAUGCUGACAUAAGUAACGAUAAAGCGGGUGAAAAGCCCGCUCGCCGGAAGACCAAGGGUUCCUGUCCAACGUUAAUCGGGGCAGGGUGAGUCGACCCCUAAGGCGAGGCCGAAAGGCGUAGUCGAUGGGAAACGGGUUAAUAUUCCCGUACUUGGUGUUACUGCGAAGGGGGGACGGAGAAGGCUAUGUUGGCCGGGCGACGGUUGUCCCGGUUUAAGCGUGUAGGUGUGUGUUCCAGGUAAAUCCGGUUCACUUUAACACUGAGGCGUGAUGACGAGGCACUACGGUGCUGAAGCAACAAAUGCCCUGCUUCCAGGAAAAGCCUCUAAGCAUCAGGUAACAUCAAAUCGUACCCCAAACCGACACAGGUGGUCAGGUAGAGAAUACCAAGGCGCUUGAGAGAACUCGGGUGAAGGAACUAGGCAAAAUGGUGCCGUAACUUCGGGAGAAGGCACGCUGACACGUAGGUGAAGUGAUUUACUCAUGGAGCUGAAGUCAGUCGAAGAUACCAGCUGGCUGCAACUGUUUAUUAAAAACACAGCACUGUGCAAACACGAAAGUGGACGUAUACGGUGUGACGCCUGCCCGGUGCCGGAAGGUUAAUUGAUGGGGUCAGCGCAAGCGAAGCUCCUGAUCGAAGCCCCGGUAAACGGCGGCCGUAACUAUAACGGUCCUAAGGUAGCGAAAUUCCUUGUCGGGUAAGUUCCGACCUGCACGAAUGGCGUAAUGAUGGCCAGGCUGUCUCCACCCGAGACUCAGUGAAAUUGAACUCGCUGUGAAGAUGCAGUGUACCCGCGGCAAGACGGAAAGACCCCGUGAACCUUUACUAUAGCUUGACACUGAACAUUGAGCCUUGAUGUGUAGGAUAGGUGGGAGGCUUUGAAGUGUGGACGCCAGUCUGCAUGGAGCCGACCUUGAAAUACCACCCUUUAAUGUUUGAUGUUCUAACGUGGACCCGUGAUCCGGGUUGCGGACAGUGUCUGGUGGGUAGUUUGACUGGGGCGGUCUCCUCCUAAAGAGUAACGGAGGAGCACGAAGGUUGGCUAAUCCUGGUCGGACAUCAGGAGGUUAGUGCAAUGGCAUAAGCCAGCUUGACUGCGAGCGUGACGGCGCGAGCAGGUGCGAAAGCAGGUCAUAGUGAUCCGGUGGUUCUGAAUGGAAGGGCCAUCGCUCAACGGAUAAAAGGUACUCCGGGGAUAACAGGCUGAUACCGCCCAAGAGUUCAUAUCGACGGCGGUGUUUGGCACCUCGAUGUCGGCUCAUCACAUCCUGGGGCUGAAGUAGGUCCCAAGGGUAUGGCUGUUCGCCAUUUAAAGUGGUACGCGAGCUGGGUUUAGAACGUCGUGAGACAGUUCGGUCCCUAUCUGCCGUGGGCGCUGGAGAACUGAGGGGGGCUGCUCCUAGUACGAGAGGACCGGAGUGGACGCAUCACUGGUGUUCGGGUUGUCAUGCCAAUGGCACUGCCCGGUAGCUAAAUGCGGAAGAGAUAAGUGCUGAAAGCAUCUAAGCACGAAACUUGCCCCGAGAUGAGUUCUCCCUGAGACUUUAGGUCUCCUGAAGGAACGU